UUUCGCUCACGGCUGCUUUGCAAUGCCAGGCAGUCGAGGUGAGUCGAGUCGAGUCGAGUAGAGCCGAGCCGAACCUCUUGGAAUCAGUCUGAGACGUGGCCCCAUCGCAUCCUUUUCGUUUGUUACGGUAUCCUUGUGCACAGCUACCACCUGUUGAAAUCGAACGAUCUUAUCAUGCAUCGUCGUAAUUAAUAGUUCGAUACAUCGAAAUGACUACGUUUUGAAAUCACAUAUUUUAAUUAUAUAGUGAAACAUCGUGGUUCAUCGAUUGCGCGGAAACACGUUUUCUUUUGUUGUGUCUCACCAUCAAAAGUGGAAUCAUUUGUAUAAUCUUGUUUUUUUCUUGGUUAAUAUCGUUGAAGAAGUGCUAGUUUAAAAUCUAUAAUCUUGGUGCAAUGAUUUUGUGUAACACUGAAAGAUCAACUGGAAGUUUAGCAGAAAAUAUUUAAAAGAUUAUUGGCUUCUAUGAAGGGAGAAAUUAAUUAAUGAGAGGUGUCCAUGCCGAGUGUUAAGAAAAAUCAACUGGAUGAUCUUAGGAGCGCGAGAAGAAAAUUCUCAGUGGUACCAGUUCUGUGGAAUACAACGAAAGUUAUUAUACAGUCGAGGCUGCAAAAGUGACACGUUCGUGUUUGAAAAUGUCAUCAAGUACACGUACCAUGAUAAUGUCAGGACUGAUUUUAUUGGUAUUAGCAAUAGUAUCACUCAGGGAAGUGCAAGGACACGUUGCCUUGACUUUUCCACGAGCGAGGAAGUAUGACUUGGAUUUUUUGGAUAAUGCUAGAACACCUGGCCCAUGCGGAAUGCCUCGUGGUGAUAUUAAAACUACUUUAUUAUCUGGGAGUAACUUCAACGUCACAUGGCAUCUAGCUUAUCCUCAUCGAGGUGGAUUUCGGCUGCAAAUCUUGGAUGCUCUCGAUAGACCAUUAAUUGAUUUAACUCCUGUGACGAAAAAUAGUGAAUUCGUUGAAGAUGAUGCUACGGCACAGAAUUAUGCCGUACAAUUACCUCAAAAUUUUACGUGUACAGAUUGCACAAUUCGGCUUCUUCGAGAAGCUGAGGAAUGGGGUUCAAGUUACAGAUUUUGGUCUUGUGCAGAUAUCGAUAUCAUUGAUAGAAAGACAUAUAGAGAAGAUUGCAGCGGUCAUGGUCGAUAUCUAUUAGGUAGAUGUAGAUGUGAUCGGCUAUAUCACGGUAUAAGGUGUGAAUUUAAGGAGGAAUGUCUGGACGAUUCAGACUGCGGUAUUCAGGGCACGUGCAUUAACAAUGGCGGCACAACCGCGCCCACCAAGCAUUGCUACUGCAACAUCGGUUGGUUCGGGCCAGGUUGUGCAAAAAGAUCUCCAAUUAAAACCAUAGAUGUAGAAUUGGAUAUUUAUACUAUGAAAAAGUUUUCUGACAAUUUUACUUUUUAUUGGCGUAUAUUAAAAGAAAGCAAAGAACUCGAGGGCAUUAUGGUAGUAAAUGGUACAAAUUGGGUCGGUGUUGGAUGGCGACCAAGUAAUAUAAUGCCAAUUUGUCGUUCUUUCCCUGAUAUUCAAGAACAUCCAAAAGGUGAACCGCUUCCACGGCCAGAACCAAAAGCAGAACCAGAACCAAAAACUGAACCCAAACCAGAAUCUGAACCAGAACCUAAAUCUAAACUUAAAUCUAAAUCUGAACCUGAACCUGAACCUGAACCUGAACCUGAACCAGAACCUGAACCAGAACCUGAACCUGAACCUGAAUCUGGAACUGAAAAAUCUGGUACCAGAAGAAGAUCAGCUAAAGUUCAUGAUAUUGCUUCUUUGACUUCAACUCUUCAACCUGAUACUGAUGUCACAGUGCAAACCAGUGUGACAUAUCGUGUCAGUACAAAGCAAGGACGCAAGAAAAGAUCACCAGAAUCCACAGGAAUUUCUGCAAACGGGGAACUCAUCGCCGAGCCGAGCACUGUUGACAACACGAACAUUACGUCUGAACCUAUAUCAGAACCAGAACCUAAAUCCGAGCCUGAACCCAGCCCAGAAUUAGAACUGAAAUUCAAACUGAAAUCAACUUCAGUGCCUGAAUCAACAUUCCAACCAGAAUUCAAGUCUGAAUCAGAACCUAAUUCUGAGCCCGAACCUAAACCCGAAUCAGAACCCAGCUCUGAACCUGAACCCAAAUCCGAACCAGAAUUGGAGCCGAAAUCUGAACCAGAACCAAAAUCCGAACCGGAACCCAGUUCCGAACCAGAGCCAAAGUCUGAACAGGAACCUAAGUCAGAACCGGAACCAAGUUCUGAACCGACUUCGGAACCAGAAUCGAUUUCGAGUCUCAAAUCAAGCGCAACAAAAGCUAUCCUACCUGAAACGCACAAGUAUACGCCAAAACACGAUUUCAACCCUAUGGACUGCACAGACAUUAUAAUAGGAUCAGCACGAGGCAAUAGUCACAGGAUUGGUGACUAUUAUACUAGAGAUAGAUCUACACCAAGAAAAGACGAAUAUUGGGGUGGAAGAGAUACAUUGACUGCUGCAAUGGGCUUUGAACGCAAUGGCGUUACAACGAUACUUUUUAGAAGAAAAUUGGCAACAAAUGAACCAACUGACUAUGAAAUUAUUGAUGGUAAUAUGCAAGUGAUAUGGGCUAAGGGACAAGAAUCUGGAAAAUAUAUUCAUCAUCCACCGAGUGGCAUUGAAAAAGCCAAAAUUAGUGUGAAAGAUUUUUACAAGGCUGACGAACUUAAAUAUCAUGGACAUGGAGAACAAAGAGGAACAGUGACGCUUAAUUUCUUUGAUGAAAAGAAGAAACAAGAAAUGAUAAAUGAAGAUGGUGUACCAAUGCCAAUUUCAAAUUGCAGCGGUGAGUGGCAUUAUCCGAGACAUUGUUCAUCUAUAAAUGGUACUUGUGAAUACUCUAUUCAAUGGACAUACAAAGGACGAAAGGAUCAAUUAUCAUUUGUUAUUUCCACAACUAAUACAAAUGUUUGGACUGGUGUUGGAUUCUCUGAUGACGAUAAAAUGUCACAAACAGACGCAAUAUUGGGUUGGGUUGAUGAAAAAUCGGGUCGAGCUUUUCUCAUGGAUACUUGGAUCAGCGGAUAUAAUGCUCCGUUGCUCGAUCCAUCUCAAGAUAUUUAUAAUACGGGCGGUAGUAAAGUGGAUGGUGUAACGACACUCAAAUUCUCAAGGAAACGAAUAACAAAGGACAAUAGAGAUCUUUCUUUCACAGAUGAUCACUGCUUAUAUAUGAUGUACCCAGUCAAGGGUGGUAUUUUCAAUGCUGUCAGCAAGAAAAUACGUAAACACGACGCCGUGCCUAUUGUUUCCGCUGAAAGGAUCUGCAUAAAAUCUUGUGGUCUUGAAGAAUUUGAAGAUCUUACGACACCAACACCUCCAAGAUUAUAUUAUGAUGUGGAAGUGAAACUCAUAAAUUUGGGUGAUGGUUUUACAGCGCCUAUUCCGGGUAGUUCAGAUUUUGAAAUUAUUUCAAAUACGAUAUCUGAUAGCUUUGGUCCAGUUUUUAACAAAUUACCAGGCUAUUAUCAAAUCCGUCUCGUUGAGUUACAGAAGGAUAAUGAGCAAAAUGGUGUUAUUGCACGCAUGGAUCUGAUCUUAGAUAAAAAUGAAAUCAAAGGUAGAUCGUUGAAACCUAUAGAUACCAGUGCAGCUGCAGAAAAAGCAUUAAAAGAAGCUCUCAUUACUGGAAAAGUCGGUGCAUUAAGUGUAGAUCCACAAUAUUUGUUUAUUAGAGCUCCUCGAGUAAAUGAUAUAGGUGGAGGAGAUACGAAUGAAGAAUCGUCAAUCACAUCAAAUCUAUUUCUUGAUUCGACAAAACUGUAUAUCGUCGUUGGAUGUGUUGCUGCCUUGCUUGCUCUUGUUUUAUUGCAAGCAAGCUGUACUCUUUAUAGAUCAUCGAGGAGACGAGCAACGAAGAGGGUGUACUCGCUGCCUCUGGCUUCUUGUGACGCGCCCAACCCGAUUCAUCGUACGAACGCGACGCGGUAUCAUCGAAAAAAUGGCGAUCAUCAUCAUCAUCACCAUCAUCAUCUUCGGCAUCAUCAUCAACACGCUCCAUAUGAAAUGCAUCGUCCUAAUCCCAGCUGGUAGAACUUCACACUUUGUACACAAUUGACGCGCUAAUUAUUAUUCAUCGUACGCUUGUUUGCCCACUAAUCCAGGAUCGUUUGAUCGCCAAUAAUGCUUGGAAGGACUACGCUUCAGGUGCGAACACAAAUUUUGCUUUCGAGGCAUUCGAGACAGAAGAAAAGGCUCCACCACCGCCAGUUUCCAGUUUACCUCGUCAUAGAGAAAUGACUGGAAACGGAAUCGGCACAGAUACCGUGGAAGGCCCUAAUAGGAUAGUAGGACCACGAGCGACAUAUAGUUUGCCACGUGCACCGGGUUCGAGGCACACAGCACCCAUUCAACCUGGUUAUUAUACACAAGAUCGCAGGGAUCAUUAUCAACGAUCGAAGAAUAAUAUGCAUAAUUUAACAGGCGGUGGUGUAUCCACUCAACCAAAUCAGCCUGAUUUUUAUUUUAUGCCCAGUCAACGUAAAUACAGUGGUGAAGUUGUGCGCGUGUACGUGGAUUAUGGAAGUCAGGCGCCGAAAUAA
Molecule: unclassified non-coding RNA, 4579 nt
Filed under: Apis dorsata (giant honeybee)
Lineage: Eukaryota; Metazoa; Arthropoda; Insecta; Hymenoptera; Apidae
Description: uncharacterized LOC102672636, transcript variant X2
Source: RNAcentral